UGUGGAAUAUUGGUCAAUGGGCGCGAGCCUGAACCAGCCAAGUAGCGUGAAGGAUGAAGGUCCUAUGGAUUGUAAACUUCUUUUAUAGCAGAAUAAAGUGACCCACGUGUGGGUUUUUGUAUGUAUGCUAUGAAUAAGGAUCGGCUAACUCCGUGCCAGCAGCCGCGGUAAUACGGAGGAUCCGAGCGUUAUCCGGAUUUAUUGGGUUUAAAGGGUGCGUAGGCGGAAAGAUAAGUCAGCCUGUGAAAGUUUGCGGCUCAACCGUAAAAUUGCAGUUGAUACUGUUUUUCUUGAGUGUACAUAAGGUAGGCGGAAUUCGUGGUGUAGCGGUGAAAUGCUUAGAUAUCACGAAGAACUCCGAUUGCGAAGGCAGCUUACCGGGGUACAACUGACGCUGAUGCACGAAAGUGUGGGUAUCAAACA
Molecule: ribosomal RNA, 423 nt
Filed under: uncultured bacterium
Lineage: Bacteria
Description: bacterial SSU rRNA
Rfam family: Bacterial small subunit ribosomal RNA
Source: RNAcentral